Molecule: long non-coding RNA, 3483 nt
Organism: Anopheles arabiensis
Lineage: Eukaryota; Metazoa; Arthropoda; Insecta; Diptera; Culicidae
Exons: 2
Source: RefSeq, a predicted model, not a curated record
CGUGCAGGCCUUUUCAGGACUUGAGUACCACGUAGCCGGAUAGUCAGCCCUUGCUACGGCGGACGGUUCAUACGCGGUUAGAACCCACGACGGUCAUGCAGAUGUGAGGAAUGACGGCGGUGCCGCGGGACCGCUCCUAUCCAGCGGGUAACUUGCAUACUGCCACAUUGUCUCCUUCCCGUUGCAUACGCUGCAGGCAGGAGGAAGGAUGCACCUCCACAAAAACAAAAAAACACCGUCAUGAACCAGCGGCAGAUCUAACGGUAGACGGACUAGGCGAUCGCUGAAGAUCGCUAGUCUGCAGUAUGCCGUAUGUCUACAAGUGGACAGAGUAUUAGCAACAAGGGCCGCCGGAAAGAUGGUCGUUGGGGCCCCGGUCGCUGGAGAACCGUUUGCCGUUGGAGAGAAAAGGAAGCUAAUAUUUUAGCACCAGUAUUGGAUAAAUAUAUGUUGGAAAUGUUGCAAAGAAGAUCAAAUGGUUAUAGUUUUGCCCCAAAUCAAUUGCUCUGACACACAACAUUUCUACUCCAAUCAAUUAACAUGCCUCGCGCGUGAAUAAUGUAAGCAGGCACUUAAUAAAGACAAGUUUUGGUGCGAAAUAACAAUAAAAAAAAGAACAUCAUCAUCAUCAUCAUCAUCAGAAAACAUCAAGUUUAAAAAAAGUAGCGGAAUUUGGGGCAAGUGUGCCAUACGGGGUAAAAGUUCCACCAAGCAUUUUCCUUAAAAAAUUUAGUUUAAUGAUCAAUUGUGUAUACAGUUGGUUGCUUUCCAAUGACUAGGUAUACUGAGCCGAAUUUCAUAUAGACCAAUCGAUAUUUCCCAUUGUUUUGAACUGAUUUAUGUUUAGUUUCAAAAUUGAGCAGAAUAUUAUAAUUUUUUAAUCCAACCAAAUAAGCUCUCAAAAAUCAUGCGACCAAUCAACCGAGAAAAUAUUUACACCACAGUUUAGCUGAGAAAACGUGAUAUUUUUUGUGGGGUUAGUUGAAAGAAAAAAACUUUCCUUUUGUCACUGAAAAAUUCAAUUUCAAAAAAGUUACAACUUUUGGGGCAAGUGUGCCAUCUCUGUUUGGGGCAAGUGUGCCACCAUCUUUCAUAGGCGCGAGCUGUCAAAAAUGUAAACAUUGUUGUAGCGUGCUGCGGAAUGGUGCGCUAUUGUGAGCGGAUUCCACGCCAGAAAAACAGAACAGUAACAAACCAUAUUGUGGUACAAUUGGUGGUCAAAAAGGGUUCAUUGGUGACUAAGUACAUGUAGGAAUACAUACACUAGUGGUACAAACGUAAUAAUUUCCAAUUAUCUAAGAAAAACGGUUAUUUUAACCAGGUGGCCGUCUUGCCCCAUACGAGUGGCACUCUUGCCCCAUAGCCCAAAAAAGAACGUCUUUUUGGAUCCUUUUUAAAACACUUCAAAAACUGUUUUGUUUGCACUUUUUUCAAGCGAAACUCAUUUAUAAGUGAGGAAAUAGAUGUAAAAUGGUUAUGAGAUUUCAAUCGGCUUUUGAAAAAAACAUGUUUUAAUGAGUUAUAACUUGAAAUGCUUAAGGUGGCAUACUUGCCCCAAGUUCCGCUACUCGUUAGCUAACGAUCAGCCUAUACAAAGACGCAAACGUUCAACCACAGAGAACAGAUACGCACUGCUUAGUGAUAUUGGUGAUAACGAGCCGGCACCGAAGCAGAAGCUCAUACAAUCAAUCGCAAAAGAUGCACGUGUAUCGAAAAUACCACCAAUCACUGUAAAAUGCUCAUCGGUGAAACUAAUACACAAGACCAUCAUAGCUGCGGGUGUAGUGAGAUAUCAUAUCGAGAUACAAAAUCAACGUAUCACGGUACAAUAGUGCAAUUAUACGAAGUCGAUGACUUUAAAAAAGUGGUAAGAGUGUUUAAAGAAGGAAAUGUCAACUUUCAUACGUACCAGUUAGAUGAGGAAAAAACAACAAAAAUAGUUUUGCACGGUCUAAUAGAUCUACCAAUCAGUGAAGUGGUGGAAUUGUUGAAGGAAGAGAAAAUCGUGCCAACAGAUGUGAAAAAAAAUGUCAGUAAAGCAGAAAAAAUACGACGAACAUGCGGUCUACCUGUUACACUUCCUAAAAGGUAGCGUUAGUAUGGAGCUGUUACGUUCCAUUCGCGCCAUAAACCACUGCAAAGUAACGUGGGAAUAUUUUUCCACAAAACCCGACCCGAUGCAAUGCAAAAGGUGCCAGUUAUUUGGCCACGGUGCAGCAAAUUGCAAUCGUAUCAAAAGGUGUAAGCUGUGUGCUGGUGAACACGAGUCAUUGACCUGCCCACUUAUUGCAGGACCAUCAUCUGGGGACGGCCGUGUCCCCGAACACAAGCUUAAAUGUGCAAAUUGUGAUGGCAACCACACGGCAGGGUUCAUAGGUUGCCCCAAACGACCAACACGUAUGGAAAAAACAAAAUCUAACAAAUACACUAAUAAAAGAUUUGAUUUUAGGAAUGAAGACUUCUCACACAUGCCGAAAUCAACACGACUACCAGGUUGGAGACAAUACCAACCUAAAGAUAAAACGAAUAGCAGCAGUAGUAACGAUACAGGGCUUUUCGACCGAAAUGAAAUCUUGCCAAUAAUUAGGUGAAUGGUGAAUGGAUGAGUAAACUGCAAAAGUGCAAAUCCAAAGAAGAACAGCUGAUGACCAUCUUUGAAGUUAUCACAAAAUAUUGUAUGCCAUCAAAAUGAGCUCUUCUAUAUUGAAAGUUGCAAACUGGAAUGCAAAUAGCAUCCUUAAGAAAAAAUUAGAUCUAACAAAUUUCCUACAAAAGCAUAUUAUAGACAUUAUGUUAGUAACAGAAACUUUUUUGAAAACGCACAUUAAAUUUAGUAUUCCUAGUUAUACAAUUUACAGAUUAGAUAGAACAGAAGGACAAAAGGGUGGAGUAGCAAUAUUCAUAAAAAAUAGCAUCAAGCACAGAAUAAUGAAAUCACUCAAUUUCAAAGUAAUUGAAGGAAUUGGUAUAAAUGUAGAGACUUCUUCUGGUAACAUAUCAUUUAUCUCGGCCUACCAUCCAGGAGCGAACAAAAACAUGAAAGCGUUUGCAAAUGAUGUAGUUACUUUAACCAAAUUAAACAGCAGUUACUUUAUCUGUGGCGAUAUCAAUGCACGUCAUAGACUUUGGAACUGUGCCAACUCCAAUGAAGCAGGAAAGGUUCUGUUAGCACGUUUUUGUGUUGACUGUGUUGGCUGCGUGAAAAAUGUAAACAACACAACUGCUGUCACCCAGCGACCGAGAUAUGUAGAUAAACCAAGUUAGAAAAGGUGCCGCUAGGUGGCGUAAAGGUUGUUAUCUACUGAAAGAGGCAAACAUAUACAUUGCGAAAGAGAUGAAGAAACAAGAUCCAGCCUCCGGUCAUACACCCCAUAAAGGUCGAUAAUAAGGGCAUAGACAGGAAACGGCGCGAAACUAUUGCCAGUAGCAAAAGCGAGUGUGACCGGAUAAGUUAAAAAUAUAGAAUUUGCAUCAAACGUUAAA